ACACCGAUGGUGAAACAGCUAUCAUGUUUGCCUUCCGUCUCGGGAAACUUAUAUUUCGAGCAGGCGGUAAGGGUUCGACUCCCCUUUGGUGUA
Molecule: non-coding RNA, 93 nt
Organism: Armillaria nabsnona
Lineage: Eukaryota; Fungi; Basidiomycota; Agaricomycetes; Agaricales; Physalacriaceae
Source: the annotation of a GenBank genome assembly